GUACACGCUGUGACUAGCAUAUCAAUAAGCGGAGGAAAAGAAACUAACAAGGAUUCCCCUAGUAACGGCGAGUGAAGCGGGAAGAGCUCAAAUUUGAAAUCUUAAAGGGUUUCCCUUUACGAAUUGUAGUUUAAAGAAGUGUUUUCUGUUGAGGUUUUGGUAAAAGUUCUUUGGAAUAGGACAUCAUAGAGGGUGAGAAUCCCGUAUUUGACCUUUACUUUCAACUUUGUGAUACACUUUCAAAGAGUCGGAUUGUUUGGGAAUGCAGUCCAAAAUGGGUGGUAAAUUUCAUCUAAAGCUAAAUAUUGGCGAGAGACCGAUAGCGAACAAGUACCGUGAGGGAAAGAUGAAAAGAACUUUGAAAAGAGAGUUAAACAGUACGUGAAAUUGUCAAAAGGGAAGCGUUUGACACCAGUGUUGUUUUUCUGAAAAUCAAUUAAAGAACUGUUUAUGCUAAGCUGUUUAGACUUUAUCAGCUAUCUGUUUAGUUUUGAGCUUUUCUUUAAUGCACCUUUUCAGUUAACAAGUCAACAUCAAUUUCUUUUGCUGUAAAAAGCUUGAGGAGGGUGGCUUGAGAUUCGUCUUAAGUGUUUAUAGCCUCUUGCCUAUGCAGUCGGAGAGAUUGAGGUCUGCAGCGUAGAUCCUUCGGGGCUAAAUGCAUUUGUGCUAAGUUAUAGCAUUUUAUAGACAACCUGUUGACUAUGAUUUGUCUUGUAGCUUACUCGCUUAUGUUAUUUUACCUACGCUUAGGAUGUUGAAGAUGUAGCACAUCAU
RNAcentral lists this ribosomal RNA (774 nucleotides) under uncultured Neocallimastigales. Its description in RNAcentral is "partial large subunit ribosomal RNA". It matches the Rfam family "Eukaryotic large subunit ribosomal RNA", at positions 22 to 635 of the family's 3401-position model. The record is from RNAcentral. Lineage: Eukaryota; Fungi; Neocallimastigomycota; Neocallimastigomycetes; Neocallimastigales.